Anguilla rostrata (American eel) is the source of this 1134-nucleotide long non-coding RNA. RefSeq lists it as uncharacterized. The record is from RefSeq and is a predicted model, not a curated record. The transcript has 4 exons. Lineage: Eukaryota; Metazoa; Chordata; Actinopteri; Anguilliformes; Anguillidae.
CCAUUUCUGCCCCGCAGCUGGUGCACUCACUGGACUAAUCGAAAAAAGGAGGCGGUGGAGGUAGAGGGGCAACUGAGGAACGUUCAAUUUGCACUUGAAGGCUUUUCAGCAGCUGCCCCUAGUUUGACGGUGCAGGCUGAAUUAGGGUUUUGGGGAGGUGGGGAGGGGGGGGGGGGUAAGUUUCCUUUGAUUCCUUUGUUACCACAGGCAGGCCACACUACAGUUAGACCUGAUGCCUCAGGUAGGCCCAGCACAGGUGCACUUCACAGGUGUGUGUGAGAGCUCUCGGUGUUCCUGCAGCCUGAAGCUGGUCUGUGAGAAGCUGGCCAAUGAGAAGGCAGAGAUGCGGAGGCACUACAGCACGGGCUCAUGUCCCGGACUUCCUUGCUCUUGUGAUGGAUGAUGUCAUCUUUGAGACUCUCCUUCCAGGCAGAUGACAGCGAUGGAGGCAAAAGUGAGGACAACCUGGAGGUGGACGUGUCCAGUGAGGUGAACUGAAACAAAAUCGAGCCAGACCCCGCAGAUCUUCUCUCUGGGGUACUGUCCCACAGGGGAGUGGCUGGCCGUGGGGAUGGAGAGCAGCAACGUGGAGGUGCUGCACGUCUCCAAACCCGACAAGUACCAGCUGCACCGCCACGAGAGCUGCGUGCUGUCCCUCAAGUUCGCCUACUGUGGUGAGCCCAGCUCAUCCAAGCUUUCACCCAUCUGCUGCCUGCUAGACAUCUGGGCCAAUCAAUUUGCAUAUGCAAAUGAGCACUGCCCAAAUGGAGCCAGUCAGAUUGCGUAUGCAAAUGUGCUCUGUCCAAUUAGGGCUAAUCAGGUUGCCCAUGAAUAUAUCCACUGGCCAAAUAGAGCCAGUCAGAUUGCAUAUUAAAAUGUGCACUAUUCAAGUACAGCCAGUAUUCAAGAUGACCACUGAAAAUCUUCUCUACUCCAAGCCAAUCAGAUUGCCCAUGAAAUGUAUACAAUAUAAAAACAGCCAAUCAGAUUGCAUAAAAACAUGCAUCAUAUAAAUACAGCCAGUCAGAAUGUAUUUUCAGAUUUAUUUGUUCAGGACAUUAAAAGUUUUUUGCCAUGAAUGAUAUGAUAAAAUUAUUACUGUGAAUAAAUUACAGACAUAUUAACAAUCAAGGC